Molecule: ribosomal RNA, 497 nt
Filed under: uncultured bacterium
Lineage: Bacteria
Description: partial 16S ribosomal RNA
Rfam family: Bacterial small subunit ribosomal RNA
Source: RNAcentral
GAUGAACGCUGGCGGCGUGCCUAAUACAUGCAAGUCGAGCGAACAGACGAGGAGCUUGCUCCUCUGACGUUAGCGGCGGACGGGUGAGUAACACGUGGAUAACCUACCUAUAAGACUGGGAUAACUUCGGGAAACCGGAGCUAAUACCGGAUAAUAUAUUGAACCGCAUGGUUCAAUAGUGAAAGACGGUUUUGCUGUCACUUAUAGAUGGAUCCGCGCCGCAUUAGCUAGUUGGUAAGGUAACGGCUUACCAAGGCAACGAUGCGUAGCCGACCUGAGAGAGUGGUCGGCCACACUGGAACUGAGACACGGUCCAGACUCCUACGGGAGGCAGCAGUAGGGAAUCUUCCGCAAUGGGCGAGAGCUUGACGGAGCAACGCCACGUGAGAGAUGAAAGUCUUCGGAUCGUAAAACUCUGUUAUGAGGGAAGAACAAAUGUGGAAGUAGCUAUGCACGUCUUGACGGUACCUAAUCAGAAAGCCACGGCUAACUACGUG